Long non-coding RNA from Rhineura floridana, 206 nucleotides. RefSeq lists it as uncharacterized. NCBI's taxonomy places the organism in Eukaryota, Metazoa, Chordata, Lepidosauria, Squamata, Rhineuridae. The transcript has 3 exons. The record is from RefSeq and is a predicted model, not a curated record.
GCAACACUGAGAUUCAAGGAGGAGGAAGCGGACAGCCAGUGCCACCUUUUGGACUAGUUAUGCUCUGAGACUUACCAGAGGAGUCAGUGAUUAAAAGGACACAACUGAGAGCUUUUCACCUCUGGUCUCUUGUAGCCAACCAGAUGCCUGUGGGAAGCCAGCAAGGAGGACCGGAAUGCAACAGCUGGAACAGUGGAGACAGAACA